GACGAACGCUGGCGGCGCGCUUAACACAUGCAAGUCGAACGGAAAGGCCUGCUUUCCCUUGUGGAUUGCGGGUACUCGAGUGGCGAACGGGUGAGUAACACGUGAGUGAUCUGCCCCCAACUUGGGUAUAAGCCUGGGAAACUGGGUCUAAUUCCCGAUAGGACUGCAGGGUGGUGCCUGUGGUGGAAAACGAUUUUCUAGUGGUUGGGGAUGAGCUCGCGGCCUAUCAGCUUGUUGGUGGGGUAAUGGCCUACCAAGGCGGCGACGGGUAGCCGGCCUGAGAGGGUGGACGGCCGCAUUGGGACUGAGAUACGGCCCAGACUCCUACGAGAAGCAGCAGUGGGGAAGAUUGCACAAUGGGCGGAAGCCUGAUGCAGCGACGCAGCGUGGGGGAUGACGGCCUUCGGGUGGUAAACUCCUUUCGACCGCGAGGAAGCCACCUGGUUGGAAGGGUGGUGACGGUAGUGGUAGAAGAAGCACCGGCUAACUACGUG
This 494-nucleotide ribosomal RNA is filed under the name uncultured bacterium. RNAcentral's name for it is "partial 16S ribosomal RNA". It matches the Rfam family "Bacterial small subunit ribosomal RNA", at positions 28 to 507 of the family's 1533-position model. The record is from RNAcentral.